Long non-coding RNA from Helianthus annuus (common sunflower), 778 nucleotides. RefSeq lists it as uncharacterized. The transcript is spliced from 2 exons. The record is from RefSeq and is a predicted model, not a curated record. NCBI's taxonomy places the organism in Eukaryota, Viridiplantae, Streptophyta, Magnoliopsida, Asterales, Asteraceae.
AGUUGUAGAGAGGGACAUAAAAGAAAAGAAUACGCAGACAGAGAGAAAGUAGGAGUCUGAGAAAGUGGAGAGAGAGCAGCAAAGAAAAUGGGAUCCGAUGGGUUCCGGUCGCCGGUGAUGGCGGAGCGUGCCUUUAGAUGGAGCUACAACACUGGUGGUCUAGGUGGUGUCGGGUUGGAGAAAUAAACAACAGUGGUGGUGCUAGGGUUUGACAGAGGAUGGUGGUGGCAAGAGGCGGUGGUUCAGUUGACAACUGUGACGACCUCUUCCUUUUCUUAAAACCCCCGUCUGUCUUGUCUCUCAUGUCCUUAGCCAUUCCUCUGGGGUUCUCCCCCUUCUCCGACGAAGGAGCCGACGCCGGUAGUGAUGGCCGACCAUGAUGAAGACGAUGGUGUUUCUUUUGUUGAGAAGUGACGGUGGUAGUGAUGGCCGGGAAGACGAUGGUGUUUCUUUUGUUGAGAAGUGGCGAUGGAGACAAAGAUAAGGAUUCCGCGAUGUCUUCUGGUAUAAUUCCGGUCAAACUCAGGGUAGCACCCAAAACCAACAGAUGAGUGCUUGCAUAUCCUUUCUUUGACUAUGGAGGCAGAAUCUAUUCAGAUAUGUAAAAAGAAAGGUGCCUAACUUUGUGUGGGUAGUGUCCCAGAUGAGUUCCCAGCCCGUUGAUGAAUUAUUUGAUGCAUUUUCUGGUAGUUUAUUUUUUAUUUGGCAUUGCAAAGAUUAUAUGUAACCAUGAAUGGUUGAUUUUGAUGAUAUUACAUAGUUAAACAACUUGAUAUUA